GGAGUUGGCCAGGUCAUCGCUGCCUGUCUCUCACGCAAGUGAGUUGGCAAGUGGAGGAAAGUCCGGGCUCCAUAGGGCAAGGCGCCAGGUAAUCCCUGGGGGGCGUGAGCCUACGGAAAGUGCAGCAGAGAGUAAACCGCCUACGUGACCGCUAAUUGGUAUAAUUAUCGGUUGCCGGUAAGGGUGAAAGGGUGCGGUAAGAGCGCACCGCGUCGGUGGCAACAUUCGAUGGCAUGGUAAACCCCGUCUGGAGCAAGACCAAAUAGAGGGACAUUAGGCGUGGCCCACGCUGUCCCCGGGUAGGUCGCUUGAGCGUUAUGGUGACAUAACGCCUAGAUGAAUGAUGAUCCACGACAGAACCCGGCUUAUGGCCAACUCCUUUU
Molecule: RNase P RNA, 383 nt
Filed under: Granulosicoccus antarcticus IMCC3135
Lineage: Bacteria; Pseudomonadati; Pseudomonadota; Gammaproteobacteria; Chromatiales; Granulosicoccaceae
Description: Bacterial RNase P class A
Rfam family: Bacterial RNase P class A
About the family: Ribonuclease P (RNase P) is a ubiquitous endoribonuclease, found in archaea, bacteria and eukarya as well as chloroplasts and mitochondria. Its best characterised activity is the generation of mature 5'-ends of tRNAs by cleaving the 5'-leader elements of precursor-tRNAs.
Source: Rfam by way of RNAcentral